This 253-nucleotide ribosomal RNA is filed under the name uncultured bacterium. RNAcentral's name for it is "partial 16S ribosomal RNA". It matches the Rfam family "Bacterial small subunit ribosomal RNA", at positions 524 to 776 of the family's 1533-position model. The record is from RNAcentral.
UACGGAGGGUGCAAACGUUGCUCGAAAUCAUUGGGCGUAAAGCGCACGUAGGCGGACCAUCAAGUCGGUUGUGAAAUCCCUCGGCUUAACCGAGGACGUGCAUUCGAAACUGAUGGCCUUGAGUACGAAAGAGGAUCGCGGAAUUCCCGGUGUAGAGGUGAAAUUCGUAGAUAUCGGGAGGAACACCAGUGGCGAAGGCGGCGAUCUGGGUCGAUACUGACGCUGAGGUGCGAAAGCGUGGGGAGCAAACAGG